GUUGUGUUAAGUUUUACUCCCCAGGUGUUCAUAUUAACAUACUCCAGAAAACAUAGUAGCUUGUUUGUGUUGCCUUCCCAAAUUAAGAAUAUGUCAUCUAUAUAUCUUUUGUAGUGGUAGAUAUUCUUUUUCCAGAGAUGCUCAUUCCAAAUGUGAUGGUCUUCCCAGUAUCCCAUGAAUAUGUUGGCAAAGCUGGGUGCAAAUUUUGUCCCCAUCGCUGUACCAGUCUUUUGUAAGUAGAACUUAUCGUCAUGCCAGAAAUAAUUGUUUUUGCAUAUAAAGGUUAUUGCUUCUAUUAUAAAUGAAAUUUGGGAGUCCUCUAGUUCUGCGUACUUCUUCAGAGAUCUUAAUGUUGAGUGGCAACCUUUCUCGUGAUUUAUAAUAGUAUAAAGUGAUGUGACGUCUGUGGAUACAAGAGUGUAGUUAUCUUGCCAUCUUACUGUUUCCAUUACUUUAUUAAUUUGCAUUGUGUCUUUCAGGUGCAAUUUCACUUUGGAUACAUAUGGUUGGAGGAACAAGUCUGUAACGAACCCUGGAGUGGUAGCUAGUGGUUCAUAUGGUUUGGUUCUUCAUUCGUCAGUUAAAUCCCAAAGAAACGAAAUCCUCUAGUUGCAGUUUUCCAAGUAUCAAUCAGGUACCACAACACCAGCCGAAACAUGAUGAAGGGUGUAACAAGAAUGGUGUUUAUUGAGACCGCACAGGAUUUUAUGGAGGUCCCCCUGCAAGAGGACCUCCAACAGUACACAAACAUAAUAACCAAUCACAUUGUGCAUUUACAAUAAAACACUCCUUCUCUCUGCCUGGGAGAUAAUUAGGCAAGCUAAGGGAUAACCCAAUUAU
Molecule: non-coding RNA, 840 nt
Organism: Pelobates cultripes (western spadefoot toad)
Lineage: Eukaryota; Metazoa; Chordata; Amphibia; Anura; Pelobatidae
Source: the annotation of a GenBank genome assembly